This is a long non-coding RNA of Etheostoma cragini (Arkansas darter), 356 nucleotides long. RefSeq lists it as uncharacterized. Lineage: Eukaryota; Metazoa; Chordata; Actinopteri; Perciformes; Percidae. The record is from RefSeq and is a predicted model, not a curated record. The transcript has 3 exons.
AUUUUAAGAAAUAGAGUUCUCAAACGUAAGUAAUGCAUUUUAGUAGUUGAUGGCUUCUGAUAAUAUGUUGAAUUUCAGAUCCUGGCUGGGAUCGCCUUUGUCAGCUCCCUCCUUCAUACAGUGAUGUGUUAUAGCUCGACUGUGGAGCUUGCAUUUGAUGAAUGCUGUAUUUAUCAGGAUUACUUCUAAUACUCCCCUUCUCUCAGAGUUCCUUACACAACUUGACCAACACACUGAGCAGCUCAUGAAAGUAUUGAAGAAGAAAGGAGGCUCUGUAGGGCGGAAAUGGUUAUUAGUCAGGAUCAUUAUGUCCCCAAUGACACAGGUAUGUUUUGCUGUUGGUAGAAAUAUAUGAU